GCUUCUAGUUUAAUGAGGGAGUCUUUUUGUCGAAGUGAACUUGUUUUUUUCCUCAGCAAAGCAUCCCUUCCUUAGAAGAACUAUCUUUUUCAUAUUAUGAUUCCCAGUGUGCUAGUAAAAUGUGCGCCUCUCUUCUCUUUCUUAGAGGUCGGCAUUGUGACCCUGGCUAAGUCUGUAAUAGAACCUGUUUUUCCUCAUGCAUAGUGAUUGAUCCAGGGUAGUCGUAUGUCCCAAAUAUUUUCAGUCAGGGUUUUUUUUUUCAUGAGAUAUGUCAUAUGAACAAUAGUGAAUCAGAUGGAUAUAGGUAUAGAGACUAUCUUUCCUUCCAUGUAGAAAAGCAAUGCUGAGAGAUGGAGAAAGAGCCCUUGAAAGACCAUGGAUCCUGCUACAUCUCAAGGUAACAGUGAAACAUAAGGAUAUCUCUGAGGAACACAGCAUUCAUUUACAUUUGAGAUAAACUGCUUCACUUAUGCACAUUGUGUAUGGCAUGCAUGAAGAUAAAAAUGUAAGUUUCUCCCAUAGGAGUUGAAAUUGCAAGCCUUGUAUAUCAAAACCAAUAAAGGUGCAUGGGUUUGUACCUGGAAACUGGCAGAACCAGAUCCAUCUCUCAGCACAGGUUCUCCCAAUUUCUUCUCUAUACUUUCUUUCCUGUACUUCCUCAGUGAGUUUGCUUAUUUUCCCUCUUCUUCCUUC
RNAcentral lists this long non-coding RNA (693 nucleotides) under Callithrix jacchus (white-tufted-ear marmoset). RNAcentral describes it as "lncRNA (ENSCJAG00000059172.2)". The record is from RNAcentral. Lineage: Eukaryota; Metazoa; Chordata; Mammalia; Primates; Cebidae.